UGACGAAGGGUGCUAGCGUUGUUCGGAAUUACUGGGCGUAAAGCGCGCGUAGGCGGCCAUUCAAGGUCAGAGGUGAAAGCCCGGAGCUUAACUCCGGAACUGCCUUUGAAACUGUAUGGCUUGAGUGUCGGAGGGGAUAGCGGAAUUGCUAAUGUAGAGGUGAAAUUCGUAGAUAUUAGCAGGAACACCGGUGGCGAAGGCGGCUAUCUGGACGACAACUGACGCUGAGGCGGCGAAAAGCGUGGGGAUCAAACAGG
Molecule: ribosomal RNA, 257 nt
Filed under: uncultured bacterium
Lineage: Bacteria
Description: partial 16S ribosomal RNA
Rfam family: Bacterial small subunit ribosomal RNA
Source: RNAcentral